Molecule: transfer RNA, 75 nt
Filed under: Phycisphaerales bacterium
Lineage: Bacteria; Pseudomonadati; Planctomycetota; Phycisphaerae; Phycisphaerales
Description: tRNA-Lys
Source: RNAcentral
GCCCUGUUAGCUCAGUUGGCAGAGCAUUGACUCUUAAUCAGCUUGAUUCAGGUUCGAUUCUUUCUAUACAUGGCU